RNAcentral lists this unclassified non-coding RNA (763 nucleotides) under Hevea brasiliensis (rubber tree). The record is from RNAcentral. Lineage: Eukaryota; Viridiplantae; Streptophyta; Magnoliopsida; Malpighiales; Euphorbiaceae.
AAUCCAACACAUUUUAUUUCUCUAAAAAUUGAAUCUUUUUAGCUUUAAAUCUCCAAUUCCUGUACGAAAAAUGGCUUCUUCUGACAAUUUAAUGACCAUGGAGCCAUGGGCUUUCCGUUCUGCUUUUGCUGAUUCUUGGUUUUCUGACGUAUACACCAGAGAAACUGAAACAUUAACCAAAGUCCUCCAAAAAUCUGCCUUCCCGGAACCGGAGAUGAACCCGGUUCAAACUUCGACCGGAACCAAUUCCGGUGGGUCGGAGAAUGAGACGACCGGUGUUUCGAAUCGGAGGAGCAAUAAAGUCCGAGUGAACGGGAAGAUAACUAAGAGGAAGUCACGUGCUUUAAGGCGUAAUACGACGACGUAUAUAACUGCUGACGUGGAUAAUUUCCGUGAAAUGGUGCAGCAGGUGACCGGAGUUAGAUUCGGCGGCGACGGGCAGUUGCCGGUUGCUCAUGUUCUGAAACCUGAACCCCAGCGUGUUGUCAACCGGCUACAGCCUGGUUGUUUUUUGCCUACACUUGACACGUCAGCUUUUUUACUCGAACAGUCAGCGGAACCCAUGCCGGCGCAGCCGCAGACGGCGGCGGAUGUGGUGGUUGAUGGUGGCUCGUGUGGAUUUGAUUGUAGCUCUUUUUCUGCCUUUCCUACCCUUGAAUCAUUCAUGGAAAACAGCAAUGUAGUUUAAUGUAACAGACCCUUUUCUGUAAUUUCACUUGGAAGGUGUAGAUUUUUGGACAAGUAGUAGAAAGGGUAAAAUGGG